GACGAACGCUGGCGGCGUGCUUAACACAUGCAAGUCGAACGGAAAGGCCCUGCUUUUGUGGGGUGCUCGAGUGGCGAACGGGUGAGUAACACGUGAGUAACCUGCCCUUGACUUUGGGAUAACUUCAGGAAACUGGGGCUAAUACCGGAUAGGAGCUCCUGCUGCAUGGUGGGGGUUGGAAAGUUUCGGCGGUUGGGGAUGGACUCGCGGCUUAUCAGCUUGUUGGUGGGGUAGUGGCUUACCAAGGCUUUGACGGGUAGCCGGCCUGAGAGGGUGACCGGCCACAUUGGGACUGAGAUACGGCCCAGACUCCUACGGGAGGCAGCAGUGGGGAAUAUUGCACAAUGGGCGGAAGCCUGAUGCAGCAACGCCGCGUGCGGGAUGACGGCCUUCGGGUGGUAAACCGCUUUCGCCUGUGACGAAGCGUGGGUGACGGUAAUGGGUAAAGAAACACCGGCUAACUACGU
This 467-nucleotide ribosomal RNA is filed under the name uncultured bacterium. Its description in RNAcentral is "partial 16S ribosomal RNA". It matches the Rfam family "Bacterial small subunit ribosomal RNA", at positions 28 to 506 of the family's 1533-position model. The record is from RNAcentral.